UGACCUCGGAUCAGGUAGGGAUACCCGCUGAACUUAAGCAUAUCAAUAAGCGGAGGAAAAGAAACCAACAGGGAUUGCCCUAGUAACGGCGAGUGAAGCGGCAACAGCUCAAAUUUGAAAUCUGGCGUCUUUGGCGUCCGAGUUGUAAUUUGCAGAGGGCGCUUUGGCAUUGGCAGCGGUCCAAGUUCCUUGGAACAGGACGUCACAGAGGGUGAGAAUCCCGUACGUGGUCGCUAGCCUUUACCGUGUAAAGCCCCUUCGACGAGUCGAGUUGUUUGGGAAUGCAGCUCUAAAUGGGAGGUAAAUUUCUUCUAAAGCUAAAUACUGGCCAGAGACCGAUAGCGCACAAAGUA
This 353-nucleotide ribosomal RNA is filed under the name Phoma sp. NK262. Its description in RNAcentral is "eukaryotic LSU rRNA". It matches the Rfam family "Eukaryotic large subunit ribosomal RNA", at positions 1 to 350 of the family's 3401-position model. The record is from RNAcentral. Lineage: Eukaryota; Fungi; Ascomycota; Dothideomycetes; Pleosporales; Didymellaceae.